CUGGCUCUAACUGUACCUAAGAAGAUCAAGCAUAUAGAAGCACAUGUUGGUGCAGUAUUCUUCUCCACCCUUCGAAUUCUUGCUAGCUAGCUUUGGGCAAAAACAAUUGAGUAUACAUUUGCUGGAGGUGAGACAUUAUUGUGGAUCUGUUGGAAAAGGGCUCUUUUAAGAGGAAGGUGAAUGAGAUCAUAGGAAAGCACGGAACACUAAUGAACAUCCCUUCAUAAGAAAGGAAACUCCAUAUGGUAUUUGGGAUAUCAAUAAUUGAUAUUGAUGCAUAUAAAAGCCUAGAAUGAGAAAAAAAUAGACUGACCAUAUGUUGCUUAAUUGGCCGUGGCAUUUUGACAGAAUGAUUCAGAAUAGCAUAUUGUUGAAAUGAAUAUGAUGUAUCUUUUCUCUUAAAUGGCACUUCCUGUAGUAGCAUGCUGGAACUUCUAAAUCUAUUUUCUCUCUUUCACUAACAUGGUCAGUAGCUAACUCCGAAUUUUCUAUUCCUUUUUUUUUUCUUUUCGAAAAGGCAAGUUGAUCAUUCAUUUAUUAUUUACGGAAAAGGGUCAAAACUGCACCUAACCUAUUCGCUCAAGUUUAAAACUACCCUUCAUCCACCUAUUUUGUAAAAACUGCCCAUAACGUCAACUUUCCGCCCCACUCAUACCCUAGAAAACUAACGGCCUUAUUUUGAUUAAGAAAUUUUUUUAUUACAUAAUAUGUGUCAAUUUUCCAUUGGCUAAAAUUAAAACCUCACCUCACAUCCACUUAUUAGCCCACUCCAUGAUCCAAAAUAUACAUACCCGAUCCAUGACCCGCUUUUUAAGAUGCCCUAACUUCACCUCUCAACUUGUCCUCUUCCAUCCAUGUGCGGGACCUCCCGCUCCACAUUUUCUCUAAUCAUCCUCCUCCAUGGCCGAAGUACAAUAACUCACUAUUGCUGGCAGAGGACCACCAUCGGCUUCAACUUUCAUAUCUUCACCCUUCAAUACCCACGGAUCUCCUUCUCCCACUCAGAUUUUUUACCUUAAUUUAAUUUUUAAAUUAACAUUUUUUUGUUAAAUCAAUAUUCAUAGAGUGAAAUCUGGUAUCUUUGGAAUUAAAUUAAUGGUUCAUUUUAAGAUUUUAUGAUUUAAUAAAGUUAUCUUUUUGCCAAAGUUAUAUAUGCUGAGCUACCAUAUAGUUGUUUGGAGUUAAUUGAAAUCAUGUGAGCAAAUUAGCUUCACAGUUCGUCGGCGGUGAUUUGGUUGGGAAACGGUCGGCAAUGAUUUAGUUGGGGAAGAAGAACAAGGUAAGGGAUAGGUACCAUAUAAUAAAUUAAUAAAAAGAAAAAUAUGAAAUGUUGACAAAUAAAACCUAAAUAACGAUUGGAUCAUGAGUCGGGUAUGGAAUCGGGUGUUUGAGGGGCUAAAAAGGGUUUAACAGGUUGGAACGACUAAGAUGGAUCGUAGGUGGGUUAUUUACGGAUCAGAUCUGGGUUAGACUGAAAUUUUUAAUCUUGACCAAUAAGCAAUUGCCACGCCAUAUAUAAUUUUAUUUUAUUUUAUUCAGCAAAGGUCCGUCAGAAAUAAGGGUAUGAAUGUGCCAGUUUUUUAACGGUGAGGGAAAUUUUUACAAAAUAGGUGAACGAAGGGUAUUUUUAAACCUAAGCGAAUAGAUUAGGGGCAGUUUUGACCCUUUUCCGUAUUAUUUAAAAAUCCAACACUAAGGCAGUGCUGGUCAUUAUGAAAGAAGGGAUAUACCCCUGUAUAAAAGUAAUGAAACAAAUGGUCAGCUGAGAAUUAUCUAUUCACUGAGUACUGAAACAAGUGAAGAUUAAAGGAUGGUGCCUUAGUGGUUAGUAAAUUAGGAACCCAACGCCAGUAUUGCCUCCGCCCCUCCCUGCAAAUCUGAAUUGUCUUCUAAUAUUGGCAUUAGAGUUGAACAUGUCUCAUGCCUGGUCUUUCAGGUAUAGAUAUGAGUUCAAAUGGACACUCAAAGCCUCCCUCAUUAGUGUCCCUAUUCGGUCAGAUAGAUUUGGAAGAUACAAUAGAAGAGGACCAGAAAGGAGAACAACAGAUUUUAUGAGUCCAAUUACUUGUCCUCUUCACUGACAAGAACUGGGAAAUUUCUUUUGUACAAAAAGAGAAUAAACAAUAAGCUUUUAUUUUUACAUACACUGAUCUGAUUAUUAUUUAGUGGUAAAUUUUAAUGUACAUACACUGUAACAGAUACAUUCCUUGAUUUCUAUCAGAUUAUAUAAAUGGGGAAUUAUCAGUUUUGCUAAAACUACUUCAA
Molecule: long non-coding RNA, 2265 nt
Organism: Nicotiana tabacum (common tobacco)
Lineage: Eukaryota; Viridiplantae; Streptophyta; Magnoliopsida; Solanales; Solanaceae
Source: RefSeq, a predicted model, not a curated record